GACAUCACUAAACAAACGAGUUUGGGUCCUCUGGCAGGCGCGGUCAGCGUGAGCCGACGCCCGAAGGCGGCCUGCCAAAGCAACAAAGGUAUGUAUACACGGUUUGGGAAUAGAACCCAUUUCAAAAAACGGGGCAUUCUUUAAUGAUCCUUCCGCAGGUUCACCUACGGAAACCUUGUUACGACUUUUACUUCCUCUAAAUGACCAAGA
This 210-nucleotide unclassified non-coding RNA is filed under the name uncultured fungus. Its description in RNAcentral is "sequence contains 18S rRNA gene, ITS1, 5.8S rRNA gene, ITS2". The record is from RNAcentral. Lineage: Eukaryota; Fungi.